GGAAGUCCUCGUGUUGCAUCC
This 21-nucleotide small RNA is filed under the name Arabidopsis thaliana (thale cress). Its description in RNAcentral is "AGO4_07865". The record is from RNAcentral. Lineage: Eukaryota; Viridiplantae; Streptophyta; Magnoliopsida; Brassicales; Brassicaceae.